Molecule: long non-coding RNA, 458 nt
Organism: Penaeus monodon (black tiger shrimp)
Lineage: Eukaryota; Metazoa; Arthropoda; Malacostraca; Decapoda; Penaeidae
Exons: 3
Source: RefSeq, a predicted model, not a curated record
GCGCGUGACAGUCCUCGCCAGUCAGUGCCAGUGCAAACCUAGUCUGCAGAGGGAGACGGGAUACUCAGCCGGUGGAUUUCUGCGACAAGAUGGCCGCCGCCCACGAAAAGAGGCAAUUUUACAAGGACUCCGUCCUCGAGUACUUGAAGGAGAAGGGCGAGGAGGACGCCCACGCGAGAGAUGAGGUCCUGAGGAUCCCGACUUAGGCCUCAACAAGGAUGAGAAGAAUGCUUUAAAUCAGGCCAUCACCACCAUGAUAGCACAAGGGCUUUUAUCCCUUGAUAUGGACGAGGGAAAAGAGUUCUUGAGGGUUGACGAUGCCGAUAAAAGCAUCAACGAGCCCAAAAACAAAAGAAGAAGACAAAGAAGGGCAAACCGAAGAAGUUCAAGCAGCAACCGACGAUUUGGAACAAAACAGCCUCAGCUUCCGUGGCCGCCAGAUGUUCUGAUUAAAGCAG